Chroicocephalus ridibundus (black-headed gull) is the source of this 2123-nucleotide long non-coding RNA. RefSeq lists it as uncharacterized. NCBI's taxonomy places the organism in Eukaryota, Metazoa, Chordata, Aves, Charadriiformes, Laridae. The transcript is spliced from 3 exons. The record is from RefSeq and is a predicted model, not a curated record.
UCUGUCCAUGGAUAUUCUGAGUGGAAAAAAAUACUGCCAAAAACCAAGUACAUCACUGCAUUUCCUAAAUAAGGUAAUUAAUAAUUAUUGGUUGAGGCCUAAUAAAUCAUAACAUUCAUAACCAUGGUGUUUCCAAUGGGCCAGCGCUCCUAUGCACACUCACUAAGCAAUCUACUUGUCAUAAGGAAACCAUACCCUGUAGUGAUUCUGUAGUGAUUCUACUUGCCAAAAAGCAAAGAUGAGGGAUGACUUUCCUCCCCCCAGACCGUUUCCACAGAAUGUAUUUGUCCUGUCUUUCCAGCUGGGAGUCGGUGUCUCCGGUCCCUCCUCAAGACCCUGCUUGUCAAAUGAGUCCUGUCUCUUUGAAAUAUUUAUACAUACCACAUCACCUAUAUUUCACAGCUACGUUAAGAGGUAGACAGUCUCUGGGACAGACGGGGUGUUCAAAGAGAGCAAAUCAUAUAUAGCACAAUGUCACCAGGCAAGAGACGAUUGAAGAACCGCGUGAGGCCAAGGUCCAGUUGCAAGAACAUUAAUUCUCUUUGUGUCAAUGUUUUCGUGCUAUAGUCUGGUGCAGCCUGUCAUUUAUUUCUUUCCUGGGAUGAUGCAGCUAUUUGUGGGCCCCAGUGAUCUCUUGAGCUUGUGGCCUGACAUUUCUUGUCACCUCUUUCUUGUUCAUUUUCUUCUCAGCACUGCAGCCAAGGAUGUCUCCAGGAUCCCUGAAGUUUGAUCUCUUUCUCCCCUCCCUCCCUAGACACUUAAGGAAGUGAGUACAGCCCAGCUGGAAGCUUUGCUGCGGCAUUUCCCUUGCUAUGGCUCACUAAAAGGGAGAAGAAACAGACAGUAAGAAGGGAAAAGGAACACAACGGGGCACCUGAGAGGCAACGGGCAGAGCCGGGGUGACUCCAAAUGCUGCAAGAGAGCCUGACAUGGUGAGGAGGCCAUCCUGCAGAGUCGCUUUUGUGGGAGUGCUCAGACCGGAGAAGAAACGACAGAUCGUACAACCUGCUGGGAACCUCCACCUCCUCCACCCUUUAUAGGCUGGCAGAGGUUGAAGUCUGAUUGAUUUCUCAGUUACAUCUAGUCCUCAGAAGAAAGAGAAAAAGAGCUAAUCAUGCUAGCAUGAUACUAGAGCCAGGGACUCUGAUGGCUGUGGCUAUUACUGCCUCCGGAGUGACAUGCUGAGCGGAUGUGCCUGACGGGUGACCUCACAUUGAGCCGUGAAGAUGUUGGGAGCGACCAGCUCUACCACACACCAUUGCUCAGUACCUCACAGAGGGGGAGGGAGGAAUGUAACACAGAGUGUCAGCCUGACGUAAAGCCAAAUACAGGGCCGCUGGAGUCAAGAUAGGGCUUGGUUUACAUAUUGUAUAUGUGGCACUUUUUAUUAAAGCUUGAAAAUGUAAUCCCCUCUGUUGCAACCUCCCUCUAGGGGCUCACCAGGAGCUGCAGUAUUUUCAUGCAUGUCCCCUCGUGUCUCAAGCGUUGCACACUCACCCCGUGGGUUUCCUAAGAAGUUUCUCCCUGCAGCUCCCCAGGGUGGCUGUGCUCCGGUGAAGGGCGAAGCGAUUCUCCUUGCUAAACCAACCCCUGCAUCCAGACUUCCCCAGGAAUAUCAGAUGAGGGUUUUGAGUAACGGCAGCAGCAGUCUUCCCUAUUAGCGAAGUAAAGCAGGAAAAUUAGUGGAAAAUAACGUAAUUUUUAUACGGACCAAAUCAUUCACAGAUGAUGGAGGCAGAAGGAAACACUACUGGUCUGACCUCCCGUUCUAAUCAGAGUGCAUUGUGAGCAGCAACCUCCAGUCCUGAUUUCUGAGAAGCCAAUAAUAAACCAUUCAUUUGUAUCUCGCACAGAGCAGUGCCGUAUUCCAUCAGGAUGCACAAACUGUUAUUCUUAAGGAACAAUACGCAUUUGGGAUCAGAUUUACAGCUGUUCAGUAGCCUUCAGAUUUGCAGGUAAACCACAAGAUCUGACUUGCUGGAAGGUUUCAUGGCAUGUGAGGCUGGCACAGAGAAAUAAAUGCCUCUGAUUUCCCCCCUCUGACUUUUCCCUGCUUCUGGCAUCAGGACUGAGGGAGACAGGAGCCACAUCUCCACUCAUGUUUAGGAGGGACUGGGGGAGCC